This 503-nucleotide ribosomal RNA is filed under the name uncultured bacterium. RNAcentral describes it as "partial 16S ribosomal RNA". It matches the Rfam family "Bacterial small subunit ribosomal RNA", at positions 30 to 523 of the family's 1533-position model. The record is from RNAcentral.
AUUGAGCGCUGGCGGCAGGCUUAACACAUGCAAGUCGAGCGGGGUGAUGGUGCUUGCACUAUCACUUAGCGGCGGACGGGUGAGUAAUGCUUAGGAAUCUGCCUAUUAGUGGGGGACAACAUCUCGAAAGGGAUGCUAAUACCGCAUACGUCCUACGGGAGAAAGCAGGGGAUCACUUGUGACCUUGCGCUAAUAGAUGAGCCUAAGUCGGAUUAGCUAGUUGGUGGGGUAAAGGCCUACCAAGGCGACGAUCUGUAGCGGGUCAGAGAGGAUGAUCCGCCACACUGGGACUGAGACACGGCCCAGACUCCGACGGGAGGCAGCAGUGUGGAAUAUUGGACAAUGGGGGGAACCCUGAUCCAGCCAUGCCGCGUGUGUGAAGAAGGCCUUAUGGUUGUAAAGCACUUUAAGCGAGGAGGAGGCUCUUUUGGUUAAUACCCAAGAUGAGUGGACGUUACUCGCAGAAUAAGCACCGGCUAACUCUGUGCCAGCCGCCGCGGUAA